CACAUGACUCUCGGCAACGGAUAUCUUGGCUCUUGCAUCGAUGAAGAACGUAGCAAAAUGCGAUACCUGGUGUGAAUUGCAGAAUCCCGUGAACCAUCGAGUUUUUGAACGCAAGUUGCGCCCGAUGCCGUCUGGUUGAGGGCACGUCUGCCUGGGCGUCAUAC
Molecule: ribosomal RNA, 164 nt
Filed under: Tuctoria mucronata
Lineage: Eukaryota; Viridiplantae; Streptophyta; Magnoliopsida; Poales; Poaceae
Description: 5.8S ribosomal RNA
Rfam family: 5.8S ribosomal RNA
About the family: 5.8S ribosomal RNA (5.8S rRNA) is a component of the large subunit of the eukaryotic ribosome. It is transcribed by RNA polymerase I as part of the 45S precursor that also contains 18S and 28S rRNA.
Source: RNAcentral